Molecule: ribosomal RNA, 497 nt
Filed under: uncultured bacterium
Lineage: Bacteria
Description: partial 16S ribosomal RNA
Rfam family: Bacterial small subunit ribosomal RNA
Source: RNAcentral
GAUGAACGCUGGCGGCGUGCCUAAUACAUGCAAGUCGAGCGAACAGACGAUGAUCUUGCUCCUCUCACGUUAGCGGCGGACGGGUGAGUCACACGUGUAUCACCUACCUAUAAGACUGGGAUAACUUCGGGACACCGGAUCUAAUCCCGUAUAAUAUAUUGAACCGCAUGGUUCAAUAGUGAAAGACGGUUUUGCUGUCUCUUCUAGAUGGAUCCGCGCCGCAUUAGCUAGUUGUUAAGGUACCGGCUUACCAAGGCGACGAUGCGUAGCCGACCUGAGAGGGUGAUCGGCCGCACUGGAACUGAGACACGGACAAGACUCCUGCGGGAGGCAGCAGUAGGGAAUGUUCCGCAAUGGGCGAAAGCAUGACGGAGCAACGCCGCGUGAGUGAUGAAGGUCUUCGGAUCGUAAAGCUCUGUUAUUAGGGAAGAACAAAUGUGUAAGUAACUAUGCACGUCUUGACGGUACCUAAUAAGAAAGCCACGGCUAACUACGUG